UACGGGGGGGGCAAGCGUUGUUCGGAAUUACUGGGCGUAAAGGGCGCGUAGGUGGUUGGAUAAGUCAGCUGUGAAAACCACGAGCUCAACUUGUGGCCUGCAGUUGAAACUGUCUGGCUAGAGUGUGGGAGAGGGAAGUGGAAUUCCUGGUGUAGCGGUGAAAUGCGUAGAUAUCAGGAGGAACACCGGUGGCGAAGGCGGCUUCCUGGACCACAACUGACGCUGAGGCGCGAAAGCUAGGGGAGCAAACAGG
Molecule: ribosomal RNA, 253 nt
Filed under: uncultured bacterium
Lineage: Bacteria
Description: partial 16S ribosomal RNA
Rfam family: Bacterial small subunit ribosomal RNA
Source: RNAcentral